Molecule: ribosomal RNA, 488 nt
Filed under: uncultured bacterium
Lineage: Bacteria
Description: bacterial SSU rRNA
Rfam family: Bacterial small subunit ribosomal RNA
Source: RNAcentral
GAUGAAACGCUAGCGGGAGGCUUAACACAUGCAAGUCGAGGGGCAGCAUAGGGUAGCAAUACUCUGAUGGCGACCGGCAAACGGGUGAGUAACGCGUAUGCAACCUACCCUGUACAGGGGGAUAACCCGGAGAAAUUCGGACUAAUAUCCCGUAAUAAUAUCCGGAGGCAUCUUUGGAUAUUUAAAGUUCCGACGGUACGGGAUGGGCAUGCGUAACAUUAGCUGGUUGGUAAGGUAACGGCUUACCAAGGCUAUGAUGUUUAGGGGUCCUGAGAGGGUGGUCCCCCACACUGGUACUGAGACACGGACCAGACUCCUACGGGAGGCAGCAGUGAGGAAUAUUGGUCAAUGGGCGCAAGCCUGAACCAGCCAUCCCGCGUGCAGGAAGACGGCCCUAUGGGUUGUAAACUGCUUUUCCAGGGAGAGAAACUUACGCACGUGUUGCGUGACUGACGGUACCCUGGGAAUAAGCAUCGGCUAACUCCGUG